GCCGCCCUAGCUCAGCGUGGUAGAGCGCCUGACUGUUAAUCAGGGGGUCGUCAGUUCAAGUCUGACGGGCGGCGCCU
Molecule: transfer RNA, 77 nt
Filed under: Candidatus Nitrosotenuis uzonensis
Lineage: Archaea; Thermoproteati; Nitrososphaerota
Description: tRNA-Asn
Rfam family: tRNA
About the family: Transfer RNA (tRNA) molecules are approximately 80 nucleotides in length. Their secondary structure includes four short double-helical elements and three loops (D, anti-codon, and T loops). Further hydrogen bonds mediate the characteristic L-shaped molecular structure. tRNAs have two regions of fundamental functional importance: the anti-codon, which is responsible for specific mRNA codon recognition, and the 3' end, to which the tRNAs corresponding amino acid is attached (by aminoacyl-tRNA synthetases). tRNAs cope with the degeneracy of the genetic code in two manners: having more than one tRNA (with a specific anti-codon) for a particular amino acid; and 'wobble' base-pairing, i.e. permitting non-standard base-pairing at the 3rd anti-codon position.
Source: RNAcentral